This 830-nucleotide ribosomal RNA is filed under the name uncultured Staphylococcus sp. Its description in RNAcentral is "bacterial SSU rRNA". It matches the Rfam family "Bacterial small subunit ribosomal RNA", at positions 80 to 895 of the family's 1533-position model. Lineage: Bacteria; Bacillati; Bacillota; Bacilli; Caryophanales; Staphylococcaceae. The record is from RNAcentral.
CUCCUCUGACGUUAGCUGGCGGACGGGUGAGUAACACGUGGAUAACCUACCUAUAAGACUGGGAUAACUUCGGGAAACCGGAGCUAAUACCUGGAUAAUAUAUUGAACCGCAUGGUUCAAUAGUGAAAGACGGUUUUGCUGUCACUUAUAGAUGGAUCCGCGCCGCAUUAGCUAGUUGGUAAGGUAACGGCUUACCAAGGCGACGAUGCGUAGCCGACCUGAGAGGGUGAUCGGCCACACUGGAACUGAGACACGGUCCAGACUCCUACGGGAGGCAGCAGUAGGGAAUCUUCCGCAAUGGGCGAAAGCCUGACGGAGCAACGCCGCGUGAGUGAUGAAGGUCUUCGGAUCGUAAAACUCUGUUAUUAGGGAAGAACAAAUGUGUAAGUAACUAUGCACGUCUUGACGGUACCUAAUCAGAAAGCCACGGCUAACUACGUGCCAGCAGCCGCGGUAAUACGUAGGUGGCAAGCGUUAUCCGGAAUUAUUGGGCGUAAAGCGCGCGUAGGCGGUUUUUUAAGUCUGAUGUGAAAGCCCACGGCUCAACCGUGGAGGGUCAUUGGAAACUGGAAAACUUGAGUGCAGAAGAGGAAAGUGGAAUUCCAUGUGUAGCGGUGAAAUGCGCAGAGAUAUGGAGGAACACCAGUGGCGAAGGCGACUUUCUGGUCUGUAACUGACGCUGAUGUGCGAAAGCGUGGGGAUCAAACAGGAUUAGAUACCCUGGUAGUCCACGCCGUAAACGAUGAGUGCUAAGUGUUAGGGGGUUUCCGCCCCUUAGUGCUGCAGCUAACGCAUUAAGCACUCCGCCUGGGAAGUACGACCGCAAGGUU